This 596-nucleotide long non-coding RNA is filed under the name Zostera marina. Its description in RNAcentral is "long non-coding RNA (ZMAR_LNC001131)". The record is from RNAcentral. Lineage: Eukaryota; Viridiplantae; Streptophyta; Magnoliopsida; Alismatales; Zosteraceae.
CCAAUCAUGCUACGCACCCUUGUCAUAUGGACGCUCGAAUCAAGAACCGACGCUCCAACUUCCCAACCGUUGAGAGACUGACAUCCAGAUAUAAAUACAAGUGACACCCAACAUAGAACUUACUGGAUAAUACAUUCAAACUAGUAUCAAAAGAUCAUACUCCCACUGGGAAUCUUGGUAUUGUUGUCUGUACUGGGUCAGUUGCUCCUUCAGUGAAUAUUCUUCAGAUCGCAAUCUUCGUCUUCAAUCCGUUCAUCACAACUUCCACUGCUUCAAACAUCAGUCUUUAACAUCACUGUAUUUGUUUAUAUUAUCUUUACUUCUGCUUAUCCAUAUCGCAAACUGUUAUUCCAUUCAUCGAUACUUAUAUUCAUGUUACCUGUGUUAGGCAUAUAAAUAUAUAUUGAAUAACAUAAAUCUACUUACAUUCGAUCCCGUGAUAUAAAUCUGUUCACACUAUAGUAAUAUAGAUCAAAUCAUAAACACACAAUCAUUCAUUGCAUAUAGCAAUAUAUCAGAAAUAUUUCUGCAUAAAUCCUGUUACUACACAAACAUAAUAAUUAAUAAUAACAAUGGAGGAUUUAACAUGAUAAAGU